Long non-coding RNA from Melanotaenia boesemani (Boeseman's rainbowfish), 1287 nucleotides. RefSeq lists it as uncharacterized. NCBI's taxonomy places the organism in Eukaryota, Metazoa, Chordata, Actinopteri, Atheriniformes, Melanotaeniidae. The record is from RefSeq and is a predicted model, not a curated record. The transcript has 3 exons.
CUUUGAAAUAGUGGAACGUGAAUGGAAGCUGCAGUUCCUCCAACCAACUCAAACACGUUGGAGCUCCCUGUUCCUGGCUGUGGAGAGAGUUGUACGCAUUCAGAAAGAGCAAGGAGAGGCAGCAAUUCAGAAUGUCUGCACAGCACUGAAGAUAAAGAUGUUUAAUCCUGCUGAAUUUGGAUUUUUGGCUGAGUACACUGCUGUCAUGAAACCUGUUGCCAUGGCCCUCAACAUCCUUCAAGGGGAAACGUCUGUGCACAUGGGAUUUUUGCUGCCAACACUUUACCAGUUGCAGGAGAAGCUAAUAAGGCUGGAGUUAUCCUGCAAAGUCUGAAGAUCUCUAGUAGAUGCCCUGCUCAAUGGGAUUCAGAAACGUUUUGGAGGCGCCAUGGAGGACCCUGAGCUGAUUGCAGCAGCAAUACUCUUACCUCUUAUACUCUUAAGAUUUCGAACAUUGUGGACAACAAAGGAGUGCAUCUUAAAAGCUGGACUUGACUUCAUUAGAAAUCACCUAGACACAGACUCCGAUGAUGGCAGCACAAACAGCAGUCCCUCUGAUGAAGAUGACUUCUUUGCAUCCAUGAAAUCAGGAAAACCACAAGCAGGAGAGCUGGAGAGGUACCUUUCAUGUCCAUCCUCUGAAGGUAUGAAUCUACUGCACACCUUUCCUCACAUCAAGAAGCUCUCACUGAAACUCAACACUGGUCUUCCUGCAUCUGCAGCCUGCGAGAGACUUUUCAGUCAUGCAGGACUUAUGUUUACUGCUAAACGAUCACAGCUUCACAGCAAGAAUCUUGAGAGCCAGCUACUGUUGAAGCUUAACCGUCAGUUCACUGAGUGAGAACAAGCACCACACAUGCACAGACUCAAAAGUGGCAUGUACAACAAAAACACUCCUCCUAGCACACACACACAGUGUCUUCUGUCAUGUCCUCUUCUUCAUAUCAGACAUUUGCCAUAACAGUGUUGUUUUAAUGUUAUUUUCUGGUUGCCAAGCAUGCUGAGCCAUUUGGAGGGCAAAAGUUAAUCAGAAGUUUGUUUUGUGACUUGGAAUAGUUUGCAGGGUUCUCACAUACAGUACAUACAAUAUGUUGUAUGUUUUUUGUUGCUGUUAAAAGCUUUUGUUUGAAAGCUUGUACAAGUUAUUUAUAAAGAUGUCAUUUAUUUUGUUUUUUACUGAUUGUUUAGUUUAUUUUUGAAAAUACAAGAAUUUGCACAUUUUAUUUAUUUUAUUGUCUGAUUUUAUAAAUACAAAGAAAUAAAUCCGAUGUUACAUUUAAACAGUUA